GAUGAACGCUGGCGGCGUGCCUAACACAUGCAAGUCGAACGGAGAUUUAACGCUGAUGAAGCUUCGGCAGAUUCUUGUUAAAUCUUAGUGGCGGACGGGUGAGUAACGCGUGGGCAACCUGCCUCAUACUGGGGGAUAACAGCUGGAAACGACUGUUAAUACCGCAUAAGCGCACGGUAUCGCAUGAUACAGUGUGAAAAACUCCGGUGGUAUGAGAUGGGCCCGCGUCAGAUUAGCCAGUUGGCAGGGUAACGGCCUACCAAAGCGACGAUCUGUAGCCGGCCUGAGAGGGCGGACGGCCACAUUGGGACUGAGACACGGCCCAAACUCCUACGGGAGGCAGCAGUGGGGGAUAUUGCACAAUGGAGGAAACUCUGAUGCAGCGACGCCGCGUGAGUGAAGAAGUAUUUCGGUAUGUAAAGCUCUAUCAGCAGGGAAGAAAGACUCGUAAGAGAGAUGACAG
Molecule: ribosomal RNA, 463 nt
Filed under: bacterium VCB3001
Lineage: Bacteria
Description: bacterial SSU rRNA
Rfam family: Bacterial small subunit ribosomal RNA
Source: RNAcentral